AUACGUAGGUGGCAAGCGUUAUCCGGAUUUAUUGGGUGUAAAGGGUGAGUAGGCGGGCUUGUAAGUCAGAUGUGAAAUGCAGCUGCUCAACAGCUGAAUUGCAUUUGAAACUGCGGGUCUUGAGAGUCGGAGAGGUAAUUGGAAUUCCCAGUGUAGCGGUGAAAUGCGUAGAGAUUGGGAGGAAAACCAGUGGCGAAGGCGGAUUACUGGACGACAACUGACGCUGAUACACGAAAGCGUGGGGAGCAAACAGGAUUAGAUACCCUGGUAGUCCACGCGGUAAACGAUGAAUGCUAGGUGUUGCGGGUAUCGACCCCUGCAGUGCCGGAGUAAACACAAUAAGCAUUCCGCCUGGGGAGUACGGCCGCAAGGUUGAAACUUAAAGGAAUCGACGGGG
This 397-nucleotide ribosomal RNA is filed under the name uncultured bacterium. RNAcentral describes it as "partial 16S ribosomal RNA". It matches the Rfam family "Bacterial small subunit ribosomal RNA", at positions 523 to 918 of the family's 1533-position model. The record is from RNAcentral.